This 119-nucleotide ribosomal RNA is filed under the name Triticum dicoccoides. Lineage: Eukaryota; Viridiplantae; Streptophyta; Magnoliopsida; Poales; Poaceae. The record is from RNAcentral.
GGAUGCGAUCAUACCAGCACUAAAGCACCGGAUCCCAUCAGAACUCCGAAGUUAAGCAUGCUUGGGCCAGAGUAGUACUAGGAUGGGUGACCUCCUGGGAAGUCCUCGUGUUGCAUUCC